Long non-coding RNA from Spinacia oleracea (spinach), 2299 nucleotides. RefSeq lists it as uncharacterized. NCBI's taxonomy places the organism in Eukaryota, Viridiplantae, Streptophyta, Magnoliopsida, Caryophyllales, Amaranthaceae. The record is from RefSeq and is a predicted model, not a curated record. The transcript has 3 exons.
UGGAAUUGACCCUAUUGUCUUUGCUCUUUCUUCCCUCGACUCACAUACAAGGUUUCCGGGAAAGGAAACCAUUGUCCAUUGGCGAACUAAUUCACAUACUCACCACCAUCGGCGAAUCGCACUACCACCGGAGAACUACGCUACCCUCGGUGAUUUCACUACCACCAGUGACCUCACCAUCAUCGCUAGCAAACUUCAAAUUUAGCGCUAGGCUUCUUAGUCUUUUGCUUAUAGUAGGAGAAAAUUUCGGUAGACCAGAGACGUAGUGCUGCUUAUGCAGGUGAAAGAUGUUGAUGCGAUCGCUGGAGAAGAACAAGAAAUUAUGGACAAAAGGAAGGUAGCAUAUUUGUACAAGGAGUAAGGAAUGCUAGCUCACACCAAGACAAAUCUAUUACCAGAGCUGCUUAUAUUCAUCAAGGACAUCCACAAAAGGGACUUGGUUAUUUCUUUGUUGAAUUCUUAACUUAUUCUAAGGUUUGCUGGUUUUCUGUCUAUAAGUAACAAUUCGGCAUUAAAAGUUAUACCUUAGUAGACUUAAUUACUGGGUUAUAUUAGGUCAAUUUUUUUCGGGGUCAUACCAUAUCGAGCUAUCUAGUUGGGCACAAUUGAAUACAUGUCAGUUUUAGUACAUCAGUUGACGAUCUUUAACAUUUGGGUUUGGUUUAAUCAGGUACUUAUAAAUACCAUCAUAGUUUAGUGCUGAACUUAGCUACAUGACCUUUAAGGGAAGCUUUCUUUGCAGUUGUUAUUUCAGGAUAUGAGUUUCUGUAGUAUAUUUUCCAAGUUAUAUUUACAGUCAAAAUGGAUAUUGUGUUCCUUGAACAUUGCUUUAUUUAUCUGAUGAAUUUAUGGCAUUAAUCAAAAUGCAUAGAGCUCGGGGUUGAGAGUUUCAUCUCUUUGUUGAUUUGUUGUUGGUCUGCUUGUCUUCCUUCUUUUCUUUUCUUUUCUCUCUCUUUUUUUUUACAAAUAUUGAGCUUUGUUGACUUUAAUUUGUUUCUUUGAGUUGAUGUAUUAGUCUGAUGUUGUGGCAGUAGCUUCUGAUGUUUCUGGUGUUCUGUACUAAUUGUUGUGCAGGGUGAUUUUUUGCAUUGUGAUCCUUUUCUGCUGCUCUCUUCUUUUGCAGUUUGACGCAGUUUAUGUGCUGCAUGUUUAUUGGUUUGCUGCUGCUGUAGUGUUUCCCGAGUUCAGAUGUUAUACAUAUAUAACUAAUGCUUUUGUGUCAAUGCAGAGGGGUUUUUAUGUCAUUGAGAAUCGCAAACGUUGGAUAAUUUUAAAAGUUGCAAAGCGGUAGAAAGCUUUCAAGACUAUAAGAAAACUUCAAUGGAUGUAUUUAGAAGAUGGAACAAUAAGAAAACAACCACCAUGAAAAUACUUUUUGAUAGUUAAACUUGAUUGGGAUACUACUGCACUUCUAAGGGGUUCGAGGUAGUAAAGUAGACUUCAUUUCUCCCUUACAAUUUUAUUUUAAGAAUAUAGAUUUUGAUGUUUUCUCUAAAUAUUCACUUAUUACACUUGUUGUGCACCUACUGAGAUUUAUGUUCUUGGGGUUUUACUCACAAAAUGCAUUCAUAGUUUUUACAGUUUUUAAUUUAUUUUGCUUUGUGUUAAAGUACUUUAUGUACUAUAUAUAUCCUCCCCUUCUUAUUCAUUAUGUAAAGCUUUUUGGAACUAGUUUCCUAUUCUUGUCCAUUAACCUCUUCUUCUAGUGCUAACUUUUCUCUUCCCCCCAAAAAGGGCACAACUAGUUGUUUCCAUCAUACUGUGACCAUCAUGUUACCUCUUCCUUUUCCUCAAUCACAGGUCACUUCAGUAUCUCUUCACUUGAUUUCUAUCUUAAAAGCUAUAACAUACGUAGUUGUGAGAACCUCCUAAAAAUGUCACUUUAUGUACUGUAAUCCUUCUCUUCUUAUAAUUCCCUUGGAUGUAAAGCAUUCUGACCUAGUUUCCUGCUUUUGGCCAUUAACCUUUUCUUCUGUAUUUUUCUUUUAAUUGAUAUAUACCGACUAAUUUGUGCAUUGAUAAAAUCUAUCAUGUCAUCAUGUUCUCUCGCUAGGGACAGUCUUAUUUCUGAAUCGUGCAUCUCAGCUUGAGUUUUUGAGAAAGUCCAGACUAGAUUGUGAUCUGAAUUAGCUUAAAGUACGAGCAAUACACGAGUAAAGCUCAUUCCCCAUAGCUUUCAUGUUCUGUGGGAAGUUCCAUGCUUCUGUGUACAGUUUCCAUCAGACCUGGUUUUAUAGAAGAUUGUAAACUUUACAUUCAAAUUUACACAAUAAGAUUUUCUUAUUUUACCUUUUCCCUA